AAUAGGUCCUCGCGGCCGACCUCCCAACCCUCUGUUUAUCGAAUCGUCUGUUGCUUCGGCGGGUCCUGUCUCGCGACCGCCCGGGAGACUGUGUCACCACGUCCCCGGGCCCGCGUCCGCCGAUAGCCCACCACAAUAAACUCGUGACCGAAUCUUGUGUUAUGUCUGAAUCUCAUGAUUUUAAACGCAAAACUUUCAACAACGGAUCUCUUGGUUCUGGCAUCGAUGAAAAACGCAGCGAAAUGCGAUAAGUAAUGCGAAUUGCAAAAUUCCCGUGAGUCAUCGAAUCUUUGAAAGCACAUUGCGCCCCCUGGUAUUCCAGAGGGCAUGCCUGUUCGAGCGUCAUUAUCACCCCUCAAGCCCUGUGCUUGGUGUUGGACGCAGGUCGGCGUGACGCCGACCCCGUCCCAAAGACAAUGACGGCGGCCCGUGGAUCCCCCGAUACACUGAGCUUCCAAGUGAGCACGUGUCGGACUAUGGCGCCCGGGACACCGUCCCCUUCCUUUAGGAAACUCUUCAGAGGUUGACCUCUGAUAAUGUAGAAUACGCGCUGAACUUAACA
RNAcentral lists this ribosomal RNA (562 nucleotides) under fungal sp. AM2013. Its description in RNAcentral is "eukaryotic LSU rRNA". The stretch from base 191 to 345 matches the Rfam family "5.8S ribosomal RNA". Lineage: Eukaryota; Fungi. The record is from RNAcentral.